UGGCCAGACUCCUACGGGAGGCAGCAGUGAGGGAUAUUGGUCAAUGGGGGAAACCCUGAACCAGCAACGCCGCGUGAGGGAAGGCGGUCUUCGGAUUGUAAACCUCUGUCCUCUGUGAAGAUAAUGACGGUAGCAGAGGAGGAAGCUCCGGCUAACUCCGUGCCAGCAGCCGCGGUAAUACGGGGGAUGCGAGCGUUAUCCGGAUUUAUUGGGUUUAAAGGGUGCGUAGGCGGCGCUUCAGGUCAGCGGUGAAAUACCGGGGCUCAACCCCGGGGCUGCCGUUGAAACCGGAGCGCUAGAAUUCCGAUGCCGUCGGAGGAAUGUGUGGUGUAGCGGUGAAAUGCAUAGAUAUCACACAGAACACCGAUUGCGAAGGCAUCUGACGAAUCGGAGAUUGACGCUGAUGCACGAAAGCGUGGGUAUCGAACAGGAUUAGAUACCCGUGUA
This 447-nucleotide ribosomal RNA is filed under the name uncultured bacterium. RNAcentral describes it as "bacterial SSU rRNA". It matches the Rfam family "Bacterial small subunit ribosomal RNA", at positions 328 to 792 of the family's 1533-position model. The record is from RNAcentral.